This is a long non-coding RNA of Perognathus longimembris pacificus (Pacific pocket mouse), 101 nucleotides long. RefSeq lists it as uncharacterized. The transcript has 3 exons. NCBI's taxonomy places the organism in Eukaryota, Metazoa, Chordata, Mammalia, Rodentia, Heteromyidae. The record is from RefSeq and is a predicted model, not a curated record.
AGGACUGAGUGAAAAUAAAGCUAACCAUAUGAAUUGUGAAAAUGCCCUGUUUUGAACAAACACCGUCUGACACAGGGACUCUGACCAUGUUUUUAACAAAC